AUUCUGCAGCUCUUGCUAUACCUGUUUCAGUUGUCAUUAGACUACACUAGAAUUGUGUUAGCUACCACCCCUCCUAUUUAGCAACCUUACUCGGUUAACUGCUUCACUACCAGGAUAUUGUAUAAAAACAGAUUUGAAGAAAAUUAGAAAUGAGAAACAAGUUAAGAAAAUCUCAGAAUGAUAAAAUAACUUAAUGUUCACUGAUCGCUGUUCAGGAAUACCC
Molecule: non-coding RNA, 223 nt
Organism: Pelobates cultripes (western spadefoot toad)
Lineage: Eukaryota; Metazoa; Chordata; Amphibia; Anura; Pelobatidae
Source: the annotation of a GenBank genome assembly